This 62-nucleotide non-coding RNA is filed under the name unclassified sequences. RNAcentral describes it as "GP20-b RNA". It matches the Rfam family "GP20-b RNA". The record is from RNAcentral.
CGCCGGGCACGGGCGUAAAACGGUGCGGCGCACGGGGAUGCAACCCCCGAUACCAAAGCGUA